Molecule: long non-coding RNA, 895 nt
Organism: Triticum aestivum (bread wheat)
Lineage: Eukaryota; Viridiplantae; Streptophyta; Magnoliopsida; Poales; Poaceae
Exons: 6
Source: RefSeq, a predicted model, not a curated record
UCAUGUAGACAUAUUUCUCCAGUCCUCACUGUUAGGCCUUUGGCUUCAUUCAUACUGGUUACUUUGGUUCUAUUAAUUAAGACAAAGUAGAGUAGGAAACCUCACUCACUGUUAUUUCUCUUGUUCCUCUUGUGUAGCAGGAUUCAGUUCGGUACAACACCGUCGCCAUCAUUGUUGUGAUGAGCGCCUUGGCGCUGCUGCUUCUGUGUGGUGGCGCUGUUCGACACCCGCUACAAAACCAACGAGGGUCAAGGUGGACUUGAAAGAAUACAUGCAGCCACCUUUGUAACGCCAUUGGCUUUGUAGACUUCUUGUACCUUCAGUGUCCAUCUUCCACCUCCCGGUCCAUGCUAAUAACAAUCCUCUUGCAUUUAAAUUUGAGUUUUACCCGGGCUCAAGUGAUAUGCACGUUAUUAAAGGGCGAGAGUGGACAACCUGAUCUGCUUCAGUGGUGACGAAGAAUAAAGGUCUCAAGCUUCUAUUUUAUCCAAUGGCAUUUUCUAUGUUCUUCUUAUAUUGAUGUUCAGGCCAGAUCCCACCAGACUUUGCUUUACUUUGUAGUUAUCAUGAGAGAGAUGAUCGAGUUGGGCUCGGACGUUGCUGGCCGCCGGCUUGGUCUGCAAGAGGACUUUCCCCUGCCGCGGCAGGCCAUGGAGAGAGGUGACCAAGUGAUUGACUCUAGGGCCGCCGUGGUGGUGCUCGUGGUGCCCGACGCCUGCUGCAGCUCAAUGAGAACACAAUGAGAGUCAUCAUUCUCUCUGACACCGCUGUUCAAGACAACCGGACCUGUCCACCGCGCAUGCCCAUUACCGGUGUAUGAACAUUGCAUCCUUUAAUUUACCCUGUAUAUGAACAUUCCAUUCUUCAAAUGUGUUGUACUGUCAUUCUGGUGGCU